RNAcentral lists this long non-coding RNA (10556 nucleotides) under Hordeum vulgare. RNAcentral describes it as "long non-coding RNA (HVUL_LNC013882)". Lineage: Eukaryota; Viridiplantae; Streptophyta; Magnoliopsida; Poales; Poaceae. The record is from RNAcentral.
ACGCUGAGCAACUCCUUGGCUGGAGGCGACGAGCCGUUUUCUUCUGGUUUCUGAUCGGUCUCUGAUCUGGGAGCCGACCUGCUUCUUCGGAACCGUUUAGCUCCUUCUAACGGCUUCCUUUGGAGCACGUCGGCGUUGUGGUUAUCAGGUACCAAUGCUCGUUGAAUACUGUUGUCAGACAUUGGUUUAGGUUGCGAAUUGCCGUCAGAAUCAAAAACCUAUUAUUCAGAGAAUGUCACACGUUACAGAUAAGCGAGAAGGAAGUUUAGAAGCUCAUCAAAUAUCAGGUAAAAAUUAAGGCAAGACGGUGGAUAUGCACUGAAUUGCAUGGACAACUGAGAGACAUUUUUUUUCCUAUCACCAUCAUUCUAAGCAUUGAAUUUUUUAACUGCAGGUCAAAGAGAGGCAGACAAAGUAAGAACAUCUUAGCAGACUAUGUACAAAUCGACCCUUAAAAACGCGUAUAAGGGGCAUUGUUGACCAUUUUUACGGUACGAAAUUGUCCCGGACAGAACAGACCCUGUAAAUGGAACUGUAUUCCACUAUAGUUUUUCUUUUUCUUUUUUCCUUACGUCCCGGCGAGCCGUCUCCUGCCACGGCGUGCCUCGCCCGCCUCGCCUCCGUCUCAUCUUGGCGCCGCCCGUUCCUGGUCAUGCAUGCAGUGAAGGAGGCCUGCGUCGUCUGCCCCCGAUUGAGCUCGGCACUGCCCGCCGCCGCGCGUACGUUUCCCCGUCGUGGCCGUGCGAGCUCCCCCACCCUGCUCCGCCCUUCUUCGGUGCCGCCCACCCUGAUUCAGGCCGCCGGUAGCCUGCUUCAUCCUGCCCGUGGACGGCCGCGUCUUGGCAGUGAAGGUCGAGCUGGCCGUAAUUCGGAUCGACGGCGACAAAUUUCGGCGUGCGGCGGCUUCUUUUGACAUGCAGUGACGGAUUCCGGUGAGUUUCAGAUAGAUUCCGGCCAGUUCCGCGGCGACGCGUUUGCUCCGACGAGGUUUGACCAGUUUACGGGUUGAACUGUAUACUGCUUUCAAAAGUGCACAUAUAAGGUUUUCACCGAUGGAUUUAGCGUGGCCUUUAAAAAGUUUACAGGUCGAACAAGUUUUACGGGGUCUGAUCCACGCCGUUUUUCCGAUCGAAACUGUAAACAUUUCAUUUUUUUACGGGUUUAACCAGUUUAUGGGGUCUGCUAGAAGGCCAAUACUUACUAGUAGAUGUUAUCUUGAAUUCCUGAUGUUGACUUUCUGGGCCUUUAGGCACAGAAUUCUCCUCUUAUCCAGUAUAAAAAUAAGGGCCGAUUCCUAUUUACCUAUUCUGUCGCUUUCUCUCUGGACAAAGUCGCACUGCUACUGGCUCAGAUCGGAUCUCUACAGCUAGCUUAAUCUGCAACCCAAGGAACUGAGAAGCUAAGUGCUGGAAAGUUAACCUUGAUGAGAGACGAAAAGGGGAAGCGAGACGAGCAGGGGAAGCAUUUCCCACUCUGCUAUACAACAGUAGCAUCUACUCGUGUUGAAGCUACAUACAGAAUCAAAGCCAUUCGCACGAAGCAAGCAGAGCACAGUUCAGAAGGCAGAGAGAUUAUCAUCCCUUACCUCCCUCCGGCCGACGGAAGCUGGGCGACGCUUUGGGGUGUCGAGGCGCCUUUCUUACUCCUUUUCUUCUUCUUCUUCUUCCCUCGAGCUCUACUGCUUUGCUCAGCUGAUCGAUCUCCUCCCGCUCCGCGUUGGCUCGCUUUUUGUCGACCCGAGCUGCGACCUGAGGCCUGGGCUGAGAGGCACGGAGAUGGGGACGCACGCACGCGCCACGACGGCCGCGCCGGAUCUCUCUACGUGUUGGCGCCGCGUGGGUUGAGCUGUAGAGGUCCCGCCGCUUUGACGUGGCCGGCCCCACCGUGCCGGCGCAAGUUGGAACCCUUCGCCUCGCCGUUUUGUUGACCUUCCUGACCCGGAGGGGGCGCGGCGCGAACCGAUCUGGCGGGUCCAGGUCGGUUGGCCGCAGGCAAAAUUCAGCAGGACUGCUGCUCCGUUUCUCAGAUCAAGAUCCAACUGAGAUCGGAUCCGAGCUCGGCAUGUUUAGCUGAACGAAAUGCAACCGUGCAAGGAGGUGGGGUGCGGGCGUCCAGCGAAUCGGGAUAAGAAAGGGCCUACAUGUCACUCUCUCCCCUCGUGCCUCGUGCCCUUCAUGAAAGCUCCACCCACCGGCCACCGCCCCCAUCACUCUCUGGUAUCGUUGCUCAUUCAAGAACGAUGUUUCUAGCUUGCUUUGCGACGCGGUAGGAACAUUUAAUAAAGAUGUCAAUCAGCCAAUGGGUUGGUUUUUGCACGGGUUGACCAAUCCCAUUGUUAGAUUCUGGAGGCCUCUCAGGGCGCUUGCAAUUUCGGCCGUCGGAUUGCGUUUUCAAACGAAUUCGGUCCGUCGGAUCUUCCUGGCCAUAAUGUGUGUGCUCUUCUCUAAUUACUAGCAAAAUGACCCGUGCGUUGCAACGGAAGAAAAAAACAUAAUCUUCAAUGAUGAUGACCACAUUAUGUUCACACAUAAUCGCUUGAUUUCGAAAUUUUGUGCACAAAUGCAAGAAAAUGUUUCUUCUUUUAAAUUUAUUCACAAGUUGAAGCAAUCUUUGCAUUUUCAAAAAAAAUAUAUAUAUCAUGGUUGUCAAAAAUCUUGGUAACUCAAAGAAUUAUUCUUAAUUUCAAGAUUUUUUUUUAGAAACACAUACAAUAAUAAUUCGAUCCAUCCAACAAUUAAUUCUUCAAAAAUCACACGGGUAUAUUUUCACAAAGACUUAGAAGCAUUAAUGUUUAACUACAUACAUUAGAUCUUUCAUGAACAAUUUUACAAAUAUGAGAACAAUUUUAAAAUUAAGAACUUUUUUUACAAUUUACAAACAUUUACUAAAAAUUGUGAAUAUUUUUUAUAUUUCAAACGGGUUUAAAUAUUUUCUUUUGAAUUGGCGACCAAUUCUAGAAAAGACGAACAUAAGUUUUUAUGUUGCAGGAUUUUACUUUAAAUUCACAAACAUUUUUGAAACGCAUGAAGUUUUGCUGAAUAAACAAACAUUUUUAUAAGUCAGUAAUAUAUUUAUUAAAUUCAUGACAUUGUUUUUGAAUUUGCAAAAUUUUUUAUAAAAAUCCGGCGCCUUUUUUGAAUCCACAAACAUUUUAUGUUUUCGUCAACAUUUAAUUCGAAAUUCCUAUUUUUUAAUAUGCAAAUGCUUUUGUAAUUCUAAAUUAUUUAAAUUAGAAGUAAACAAAAAUGGAACGGACAAAAUUAAAUAAAAAAGAAACUAUCAAAACAGGCAUUAGCUAUUUUUAAAUGCAUUAACAUAUUUUGAAUUAGAAAGCAUUUUGUUAAAUGCUUUUAAUAAUUUUUAAUACAUGGAAUUUGAUUUGAAAUCAUGGACUUUUCUUAUUGUAUAAACAUUUUUUCAAACUUGCAAACAUUUUAUUGUAUAUGCGAGCAUUUUUUAUAAAGACUCCGAGCAGUUUUUGAAGUCACAAACAUUUUAUUUUUUAAAAUAUGUUGAUUUAAAAUUUUAAGUUUAUUAAAAGUUUAAAGGUUAUUUGAAGUUCUAAAUUAUUUAAAAUAGAAAAAUAAAAUGGAACUGAAGAUAAAUAAAUAAUUGGAACUAAAAAAACUGAUGCCUGUGCAUGGGCCGGCCAAUACGGUGUGCUGGAUAUUCUCUCGGGGUGCAGAGCGGAGGUUUUUACAUGGGCCGGCCCAGUCUGAGAUUUUUCGUUUUGUGAAACGUUUUCUAUUACAUACCGGUGACAUGGUGGGUAAUUUAUGCAAACUUUAUGGGCAAUUUUCAUGACGUACCACAUAAGCAAUAGGUGCUUUAUUAAUAUCUCUAAUCUCUAACUAGACCAUGAUGGCGCGUGUUGCCGCGCCCGUCCAUUUGGUAAAUGGUAGAAAUUUAGUGAAAUAAAUUAAGACGUGAAACAUGGAAAUCAAAUUUUCAUCACGAACAAUGAUGCACUAAAGGUCAUGCCAAGAUGAAAAAUAUGAAAAUAAUCUAUUGGUGUAGUGGGCUUACAAUAUGUGUUCGUGGCCAUGCAAAUGUAUGAAAUAAAGAGUACAUGUCGAGGGCUACACUUGGCAUCACAAAUUCAAAUACAAGGAAUGAUAUCCAGAAGGUACCUUUAUAGCACAUCAAUAACACACCAUCCUCUAUUUUUGUACGUCCGUGUGUGUUCCUUCCAUCAAGCAGUUGAAGAAAAUUAUGUGCGGAAAUUGUGCUACCGCAAGAAAAAUAAUUGUAAUGCUCGGUGCACAUAUUCUGCAAUAACUUGGCUUGUGCUAAGCAAUUAGUUAACUAUUCAUGUCCCUUUCUAUACCGAACCACCGUCUAUCUAUCAUGCCAUCAUUUUUGUUUGUCGUCAUAAACGAUAUGGAUUCAUAUGAAACAAUAGAUAUAGUCUAAUAAAUUGCACUUGAAACCAGUUACCUCUUGCCUGAUGUCCUCGUGACCACCAUAAUAAUUUCUUAAAUCACCCUUCAGCCUUCCAUUCAUUUGAAGCUACAAAAAGAACACACUGGAAGAAAAAAAUACUAAGAGAUGAUCAAGGUAAACACACACAUAAUGGGAUCCAACCAUGGAAAAAAUGGUGCGGGAUUCAAUAAAGAAGAAAAAAGAGGAGGAUCCAUUGCUCCAGCCCGAUCUCAUGAAUGAGAAGAUCAUGAAGACAGGAAGCCUCAAAGAAAUAGGAGGUGCAAGGAUCAUGCUCGUCAUUAAUUUGCCCAUAAUCCCAGUGUUUAUUCUGUCAUCAGUCAACAUAAACAAUGAAAUAAUUUUGGAAAAAAUCACAUUUUUUAUGUAGAAGCAGCAAUUAGAUUAUUAACAAUUGAUAAAUAUGGUAUUGCAUUUAACUGAAUGUAAAAUGGAGUACCGGGCUAAUCUUGCAAAGACACACCCCUGCAGUAGUAAAGUUUCAUCUGCUGCGCCUUCGGUGAGAGAUUCUAAUGUCUGUAUCAAGGGUUCAGAGAAAGGUAGUCAGCCAUGAGAAAAUCAAACACGAACUAAUCAAUCUUACAACUUGUCAUGACGUCCAUGUAGUUCUCAGUAGGAAGAAGGUCACACCAACGAGGAUCAGGUGUGCUUGUUCGUCGGCCCCAUCAUGCUUUUCUCCACCAUCUGUUUGCUUUCUAUCUCUCUAACCAAUCGAUCAAGAACCAUCGUGAUAGAUUGGAGAUCGGAGUGAAAAUAUUAUACUUGUUCUUGAUUCAGUCACAGCAUACUUUGUCGAGUACGUGAGGUCCAUCCACAAAAUCAUUUAGGAGAGCACAAACACAACACCCAGAAUUCAAAACCGAGAGAGAUCAGGUGAGGAGUAGAGGAGGAAAUCCGCGAACUUACGAAGUGGCCCAGGAACGGUGGCGGCAGCUCCAUCCCAAUCGUCCAUGUUGCUACACGAGGAGGCUGGGGCGAAGGGGGUCGUCGUGGGGUUCCGAUUGUUUGUGCCGCCGUCGCCGUAGAUGGGGAGAAUAGGGGAGUUGCUCUAGAACCGUCGCCUUCGCACCUGCACGGAAUCGCACAAACGCUCGUCAUCCGUCGGUGCUUAAUGGGCUGGUCGCUUGGGCCUAAUCAACGAGGAUACUGCGUUUCGGCCACGAGAGUAGCCUCCCCUUAGGACAGCCAGCCCACGAAACACAAACAUGACACACAGAUCAGACCGAACGGCUAGAAAUGGUUUGAUCAGAAAAAUUAACGGUCCAAACAUCUCAUGGCGUGAGAAGAUAGGGAUUAGGCUCAGUUUUACUGUCCUAAAUUUGUUAACCCCAGUUCACUUUGGGUCCAUAAGGUGUGUGUUCUUCUCCAAUCCAUACUCUUGAUGCUUCGUGUGAUUACUUUUGCAGCAGUUUCAGUUUGUUGUAAUGAGAUUGCUCAUAUUCUGUUGAACUCAAACUCUGUAGGGCUCCCAACAUUUUGAAGACAUAUUAUCUACUCCCUCCGUUUCUAAAUAUAAGACCUUUUAGAGAUUAUAUUAUAAACUACAUAUGGAUGUACAUAGACAUAUUUUAGAGUAUAGAUUCACUCAUUUUGCUUUGUAUAUAGUCUUCUAGUGAAAUACCUAAAAUGUCUUAUAUUUUGGAACGGAGGGAGUAGUUAUUUUACUAGCUUGGUCUCAGCUAAGGAACUGUUGGAGCUUCCUUGCCACUUGAGAAGAGCUUGCAUUGCAUAUGCUGGCAAGCUCGCUCCUUUGUAGUGGUAUAUUCCUCGAAUGAGAGACUAUGAUGUAAGUCUCUGUGUGUGUGUGCGCGCGCGCGCCUGAAUAGAAACUCUGGGUGUUCACUUAGUUCUCCCAGGUCAUCAUCUCAUGGAAGCAAACUCCUAUUUGCCUGAGACCUCAUUAGAUAGAUUGCCGUUUGCCUUGCAAUUCUGGACCCAGGAGCAACAAAUCCAAGAAAAAAAUACAUCUACACAGGCUACCAUAUUGGAAGCUGGAAAUAUUUCAUGACUGGAAAACAAUAGCUUAACAAACUUCAUUUACACAGGUACACAAGCUUAUCAAAGCAUCACCAAAUACCUCUUUCUUACACAUGUCCAGGUGCAUAUGAGCAGAUCCAUUGUGUUAAAUACAUGUAGGAGCUCAACAAGGUCAUAUCUUUUGACACUUUACAAGAUUACAGAACUAAUUAACAGCAUUAACCGACCAUUCAACUAUAGUAUUUAAGCUGUAGAAUUAAGUACAAGCCCAUAUGUUCAUCACCGACCGGAUUGUGCAUGAGUAAGGUCAUAGGUGGAGAGCGUGCCGGACUGGUCAACGUCGAGUUUCUCAAACUCCUCUAGAAAAGAAGAUAUGUCUUCUUGGCUGAUCUUCCCCAGUUCUUUGAGCUUGUACACGACAAAUUCAGCAGCACUGCACAUAUCAAAGUUCACAAAUCAACACCGAUGCUCAUUACCUGCAAAAUCUUAAGGGAUAUGAUGGCGAGGAAGAAUACUAAAAAUGCUUUAUGCGCUUACCCCACUUUUCGAUCAUUAUCCAGAUCAGCUGCUUCAAGAUCCAUGUUUGUUAUUCUCCGUGUGAGAACCCAUUUGGCCAGCAUUUUCUGCCGUCGCUCGGUGUAGAUCUCAGCAAGGUACAUGAAGAACAGCGCCAGGAUUAUGGUGCUCGUAAUUAUCCAAAAUACCGCGAAAGUGCGCCCCAAUUUGGACGAGAAGCUUUUAUCCCCAUAGCCCAGGGCAGUUAUUGUGGCACAGACACAAUAAAAGGAAUCAACAAGGCUCAGCUUCUCAACCUUCCAGAGAAAAACAGUCCCCACAACAAUGGUUGUCACAAGAAGUAGGGCAGCAGUGUAGAAUUUGUACUUUGUCUUGUUUGUCUCAAUUUGCCUGAGCAUUUUGGCCUCGCUAAACUUCAUGUUCAUGUGCAGUGCCUUGAAGAACAGCACCUCCUGCUUCUCGACGAGAUAAUCUGCCGACUUGCUCACAAAGAGAGCAAUAAACGCCAUGCCGGUGAAGACGAAAACACAGGCGAGGAGCUUCGCCGUGUCACUGUGAGGGACAAGGUCUCCAUAACCAACCGAUGUCAUCGUGACAAUACAGAAGUAGAGUGCGUCAAGCACCCUGUUGGUUCUCUUGCCAGAUAACUGAUCCAUGACAAGGUAAAAGACGACGACGCCCGCUAGCAGGUAGAGAAAUAGGAGGAGCCCUGCUAGUCUAAAGCUCGGUCGUAUCACGCUGAACAACUCCUUGUCUGGAAGCGGCGAGCCAUUUUCUUCUGGUUUCUGAUCGGCCUCUGAUCUGGGAGCCGACCUGCUUCUUCGGAACCGUUUAGCUCCUUCUGACGGCUUCCUUUGGAGCACGUCGGCGUUGUGGUUAUCAGGUAGCAAUGCUCGUUGAAUACUGUUGUCAGACAUUGGUUUAGGUUGCGAAUUGCCGUCACAAUCAAAAACCUAUUAUUCAGAGAAUGUCACACGUUACAGUAUUGGUGUUACAGAUAAGCGAGAAAGAAGUUUAGAAGCUCAUUAAAUAUCAGGUAAAAAUUAAGGCAAGACGGUGGAUAUGCACUGAAUUGCAUGGACAAUUGAGAGACAAUUUUUUUCCUAUCACCAUCAUUCUAAGCAUUGAAUUUUUAACUGCAGGUCAAAGAGAGGCAGACAAAGUAACUUGGGUCAAAAAUAAGGGCCAAUUCUUACUAGAUGUUAUCCUGAAUUCCUGAUUUUGACUUUGUGGGCCUUUAGGCACAGAAUUCUCCUCUUAUCUAGUAUCAAAAUAAGGACCGAUUCCUAUUACACUUACAUAUUCUGUCGCUUUCUCUCUGGACAAAGUCGCACUGCUACUGUUUCAGAUCGGAUCUCUACAGCUAGCUUAAUCUGCAACCCAAGGGAUCAUGAAACUGACAAGCAAAGUGCUGGAAAGUUAACCUUGAUCAGAGACGAAAAGGGGAAGCGAGACGAGCAGGGGAAGCAUUUCCCACUCUGCUAUAUAACAGCAGCAUCUACUCGCAAUGAACAGAGCACAGUUCAGAAGGCAGAGAGAUUAUCCUCCCUUACCUCCCUCCGGCCGACGGAAGCUGGGCGACGCUUUGGGGUGUCCAGGCGCCUUUCUUACUCCUCCUCUUCUUCUUCUUCCCUCGAGCUCUCCUGCUUUGCUCAGCUGAUCUCCUCCCGCUCCGCGUUUGCUCGCUUUUUGUCGACCCGAGCUGAGACCUGAGGCCUGGGCUGAGAGGCACGGAGAUGGGGACGCACGCACGCGCCACGCCGGCCGAGCCGGAUCUCUACGUGUUGGCGUCGCGUGGGUUGAGCUGUGGAGGCUUUGACGUGGCCGGCCCCACCGUGCCGGUGCAAGUUGGAACCCUUCGCCUCGCCGGUUUGUUGACCUUCCUGACCCGGAGGGGGCGCGGCGCGAACCGAUCUGGCGGGUCCAGGUCGGUUGGCAGCAGGCAAAAUUCAGCAGGGCUGCUGCUUCGUUUCUCCGAUCAAGAUCCAACUGAGAUCAGAUCCGAGCUCGCCAUGUUAGGCCAACUCCACCGUGCGAUCCCAUCCUGUUCGCGCGCAUUCGUUACAGAUUAAGCAGACGGUCCAACACACGGGAGCAAACGAACUUUUGUCCGUUUUAUGUCCGCUUUCGAUCCAUCCCCGACCCAACUUUGCGUCGAUUUUGGGCGAAACGAACAACGCGCGGACGGACGGGACGCGCGCUUGUCCGUCCCUGGCCCGCGUGUCGGUGACACAAAGGAAAACCCACCCAUGUCCCCUUUGGCGCCAUUCCCCCCAAACCCUCCCAUGUCCCGCCGUCCCCCUCUCUCCCACGUCCAUGGCCGUCGUCCGAUCGGCCGUGGCCGUUCUUUUUUGGAGGUUGGCAUGGGUGUCGCCCGCUAGGCCGCUGGCUGUGUGUCGGCGAGAAACAGAUUCAUUUAGAAGGCUGGUUGUGUUGCCGCCCGCUGGCUGUGCUGCCAACGAACAAAACUAUUCACUUUGUAGGCUGGCUGUGUUGCCGGAUGCUGGCUUUGUUGCCGACGAGGAUGUGUAGGCCGCUGGCUGUGUUGCCGGCGUGAACUAGGGCCGCUGGCGUGAACUAGGCCGCUGGUAUUUGAAGCGUUGUUCUUUUGGAGGCGGACAAGAUGGGGCCAAAGGAUGCGGUGGCCGUGCGCUGAGCGCACGGCCACCGCAUCCCCGGACACGACCCCAUUGCCCUACCCAUACGGACAGAAUCCGGGCAAAACAGACGUCCGUUUGGUGUCGCGCGGUGGAGUUGGCCUUAGCUGAAUGAAAUGCAAUUGUGCAAGGAGGUGUGGUGCGGGCGUCCAACGAAUCGGGAUAAGAAAGGGCCUACAUGUCACUCUCUCCCCUCGUGCCUCGUGCCUUGCCUGAAAGCUCCACCAACCCGCCACCGCCCCCAUCACUCUCGUGUCAUUGCCCAUUCAUGAACGAUGUCCCUAGCUUGCUUUGCGACGCGGUAGGAGCAUUUAGGCCAACUCCACCGGGCGACCCCAUCUUGUCCGGGUGCGUCCGUUUGGGGUAGAACGGACGAAUAGCGCGGCCCAACGCACGAACCCAAACGAACAAAUGUCCGGAUUUCGUCUGUUUUCGACCCAUCCCCGGCCCAAACUUGCGCCGAGUUUGGGGGAAACGGACAUCGCGCGGACGCGCUCGCCGCACGCCCUUGUCCGCCCGUGGCCCGCGUGUCGGGGACACAAGUAUUCCCAUUCCCUCUCCCGCCCCGCCCGUGGCCCAACGCCUCCACCCCCUCUCCCGCCUCGCCCCGCCGACGGCGCCGCCGCUAUUCUCCGGCCACCUCAGCCCCCGGCCGUCCAUAGCAAACCACGUCUCGACAUGGCCGCCACCACGCCCGCGCUUUCGCCGUAGUUUAUAGGCGUCGAUCGGAGGAGGUUUGGCCGUCGUCGUUGUAGCCGGCGGCAGAGUGGAUACGACCGCAUGCGACGUACCACGGCGGCCACGACAGCUUCCGACGCAUGCUCCAGAGCGGCCAGUAGCCUGCCGCCAACCACCCCUGCAUCGAGGUGAUCAUCGCGACCUCUUUGCCACCACGACCGCAAGGUGUUUGACACUUUGCCCGCAAAGGUAUGGACAGUGGUGAUGAGUUUUUCUUCCACCACUUCA